AGGAGUCGCCACCUAGUAUUAUGGUUACUAGGAACCCUGACUGGUCAGCAGAGAUUCUAUGGUACGGGACUGGUUACGCAAAAUGGAAGAUAUUAUCACCUCUUAAACGUCCUGCCUGAGGCAGGCUGCAUUGCUGGUUUUGUCAUAAAUUGCUAACAUUUUGUUGAUUUAUGCUAUGAUGGUUUGCGUGUAAUAUUCCUGACUCUGGCG
RNAcentral lists this long non-coding RNA (210 nucleotides) under Populus trichocarpa (black cottonwood). RNAcentral describes it as "long non-coding RNA (PTRI_LNC002732)". The record is from RNAcentral. Lineage: Eukaryota; Viridiplantae; Streptophyta; Magnoliopsida; Malpighiales; Salicaceae.